AGCUUCUCUCAGCCUAGAGCUUCUCAAUGCACUGUGCUGCUGCUGCGGGUGGCAGGUGGGCCCUGGUGGGGACAGUGUGAGACAGGAAGUGUGCACCACCCUUCCCUUAAGGCACAAUGCCCAAUGACUGUCCAUUGAUUUCCAAAGCCCCACUGCCCAACACAAGGCUGGUUCAGGAAACAGAUUUUAUCAGGUAACUAUUGAAGAUAACUAGAAGAAAUUACAACAGCAGGGGGAGUAACCUAACAUUUGGUGAUAAAUAGGAUCGUUUCUCAGAAGCCAAGGGAAAGGAAAAGACAGAGGAGUUUGGAGUUGGGUGUAAAAUGAACAAGAAUGAAAAGAUACUCAUUUGUCAUUAUAACCAAUAUUCAAAUAGUUAUGAGCAAUCUACUAUAUGGCAAGCACUGGUCCCAACGAGGCAUGAAAAAAAUACAGCCCUUAUUCUCCCAGGAGGUACAACCCAAGAAACUAGAAAGUUAGAAACUACAUUUUUCUCAUCGGAAGCUGCUGUUUCAGAUAUAAUUUCCCAAAGCAGAUGA
This 539-nucleotide long non-coding RNA is filed under the name Callithrix jacchus (white-tufted-ear marmoset). RNAcentral's name for it is "lncRNA (ENSCJAG00000077159.1)". Lineage: Eukaryota; Metazoa; Chordata; Mammalia; Primates; Cebidae. The record is from RNAcentral.